GGAGUCUGGGCCGUGUCUCAGUCCCAGUGUGGGGGGCCUUCCUCUCAGAACCCCUAACCAUCGUCGGCCAGGUGGGCCGUUACCCCGCCUGCUGCCUAAUGGUACGCAUCCCCAUCGCAGUCCUUCCCAUUUGGCAUACGCGCCAUGCGGUACGUAUGCGCCAUCGGGUGUUAAUCCGCGUUUCCACGGGCUAUCCCCGGGACUGCGGCAGGUUGGAUACGCGUUACGCACCCAUCCGCCGGUCGACGUCCAGCGGGUGGCAAGCCACCCACUACCGUUUCCCCUCGACUUGCAUGUGUUAAGCCUGUAGCUAGCGUUCAUC
RNAcentral lists this ribosomal RNA (322 nucleotides) under uncultured Bacteroidales bacterium. RNAcentral describes it as "partial 16S ribosomal RNA". The record is from RNAcentral. Lineage: Bacteria; Pseudomonadati; Bacteroidota; Bacteroidia; Bacteroidales.